GCUCAGGACGAACGCUGGCGGCGUGCCUAAUACAUGCAAGUCGAGCGAAUCGAYGGGAGCUUGCUCCCUGAGAUUAGCGGCGGACGGGUGAGUAACACGUGGGCAACCUGCCUAUAAGACUGGGAUAACUUCGGGAAACCGGAGCUAAUACCGGAUACGUUCUUUUCUCGCAUGAGAGAAGAUGGAAAGACGGUUUACGCUGUCACUUAUAGAUGGGCCCGCGGCGCAUUAGCUAGUUGGUGAGGUAAUGGCUCACCAAGGCGACGAUGCGUAGCCGACCUGAGAGGGUGAUCGGCCACACUGGGACUGAGACACGGCCCAGACUCCUACGGGAGGCAGCAGUAGGGAAUCUUCCGCAAUGGACGAAAGUCUGACGGAGCAACGCCGCGUGAACGAAGAAGGCCUUCGGGUCGUAAAGUUCUGUUGUUAGGGAAGAACAAGU
Molecule: ribosomal RNA, 442 nt
Filed under: Bacillus sp. R-45885
Lineage: Bacteria; Bacillati; Bacillota; Bacilli; Caryophanales; Bacillaceae
Description: bacterial SSU rRNA
Rfam family: Bacterial small subunit ribosomal RNA
Source: RNAcentral